UACGGGGGGAGCAAGCGUUGUUCGGAAUUACUGGGCGUAAAGCGCACGUAGGCGGCUUUGUAAGUUAGAGGUGAAAGCCCGGGGCUCAACUCCGGAAUUGCCUUUAAGACUGCAUCGCUAGAAUUGUGGAGAGGUAAGUGGAAUUCCGAGUGUAGAGGUGAAAUUCGUAGAUAUUCGGAAGAACACCAGUGGCGAGGGCGGCCUGCUGGGCAGUGGCUGACGCUGAGGCGCGACAGCGUGGGGAGCAAACAGG
RNAcentral lists this ribosomal RNA (253 nucleotides) under uncultured bacterium. Its description in RNAcentral is "partial 16S ribosomal RNA". It matches the Rfam family "Bacterial small subunit ribosomal RNA", at positions 524 to 776 of the family's 1533-position model. The record is from RNAcentral.